This is a long non-coding RNA of Rattus norvegicus (Norway rat), 6620 nucleotides long. RefSeq lists it as uncharacterized. The record is from RefSeq and is a predicted model, not a curated record. NCBI's taxonomy places the organism in Eukaryota, Metazoa, Chordata, Mammalia, Rodentia, Muridae.
AACAUCAUGGUUAGGGGGCCGCCCUCCGUCUACGAAGCCCCUUGGCGCUCCUGCCCGCCCCAAAGUUUGGCGGAGCCGCAGCCCCGCGGCCUCCCGAGACGCGUUCGGGUUCCAAGGUCUCCGGUGCCCGGGCGCUGCAGCUUCAGGAUGGUGAUUUCCGGCGUCCUGGGGUCUCCUCCCCGCUGGGCGGCAGCUCGGACCCUUCACACCCGCAUUCCCAAGCGGCGAUCACUACUGAAAGGACAGAAAGAGCUGCAGUGAGACCUCGGCACGAGAGACCUAGACGAGAGCGUCUAGGGGGAUCCGGGCGUGAGCGGGAGCUCGGUAGGGGGUGUGUGGGAGCCGAGGCUGGGGGGGGGGUGUCCCGCGAAGGGAAGUCCCCUAAAUUCCAGCCGGCCCCUCCACACUCGGAUGCGCGAGCUGAGCUAUUGCCACAGCUUCCUUCCCAGGUGCGGGAGGAGACCCCGCGGCUUCCUGUUGCUGCGGCUGUGACCCGCAAGUGCUCCCUGCACGCCCCACCCGGAGUGGCCUCUGGGGCUGUGUCUGCGAACGCCAGCACCAGCAACAGAUCCUCCCCGCGCUGAAAACUUGCAAUGCGGCUGCGAAGGGGCGCGGGGGUGGGGUGGGGGCUAAUGCAAAGCAGAGGCGGUGACAGAGGCAACCAGGGUUCCAGCCGCCGCCGCCUCCUCCUCCUCCUCCUCCUCCUCCUCCUCCUCCUCCUCCUCCUCCUCCUCCUCCUCCUCCUCCUCCUCCCCCUCCUCCUCCUCCUCCUCCUCCCCCUCCUCCUCCUCCUCCUCCCCAUCCCUCCUCCUAUUCCUUCCCUCCCUCCCUCCUCCCUCCUCCCUCCUCCUCCUCCUCCUCCCGGAGAAGCAGCCGUACGGCUGCAGCUCCAUCUACAGCAACAGCCAGCAUCUCAGCCGCCAGGCUCCCCUCUGGAUUUAGGCCGUGAGCAGCCGCAGCGACAGCUCGAGACAAAAAUAAACUCUCCCUACCCAAAGCUCGGCGCGGCUCAGUCGGAGCCCUCACUCCCCAGAGCUGCGCCAGCCCACCCGGGAGGUUUCCCUGGGCCUGCUUAGCCCACGGCGAUCAGAUGUGCGUGUGCGCGCGUGUGAUUUAGGCAUCCUGCCCCGGUCCCCGCCGCCGCCUGCGGGCCCGAGUGUCCUCGCCCUCCGGUCCCAGGCCCAAGGCGAUGCGGUUGGGGGCGCACGCCUUACGCGGAGACCGCGGGAGCCGGUAGCACGGCUUUCCCAGGUGGCAGGGCGGUCCCCGAGGGAAAAGCAGGUCCCUCCCUUCGGCACACGCCCCCCAAGGACCUCAGAGAAGAAAAGUUAGGUUUAGGGGUUCCAUGGUCCCAUACAGCUCCCGUGGCGCGGCGAGGAGAGACUAACCGCUCGGCUCUCUUGGAGCCGCUCGCGUCCAGCAUCUGCCACCCAGAACUUCUGGGUAGAAAAGCGAAGCCUCCCGGAAAGGGUCGGAGGGACCGCUGGGUGCCUCUCCCGGGGAAGCAAAAGGGACACUCACCUCCACGCAGUUCAUCCCUGCGGUUUGGGGCCCUGCGCACGGGUCCGGGGCCGUAGCAGCAAUCAACGGGGUUGAGGGCGCUCCGAGCGCGGGGUGCCGGCCAUGCCGUCGGGGCUGGCGGCGCGCGGAGAGGGCAGCGCUGCGGGUUCGGGGCGCUAUCGCUGCCGCCGCUGCUGCCUCCAGUGUCGGCUCGCGAAGGACUGAGCCGCCCGGAGCUCCCCACAUGCUACUGAUUAACAUACACCAUUACAUCAUGGGCUUGGCAGGGAGCGCCCGAGCGGGGGGAGAGGAACCCGGGCGGCGGCGGCGGCACGCGGGGGAGUCGGGGGGAGGAUCCCCGGGCCCGGCGGGCGGCGGGCUGGGGGGAGGGACGGAUUCCUAAGCCCGGACCAUAGAGGAGGAGGGAGCCAAGUGGGAGGAGCGGAAGAGCACAGAUUGGAAGAUCUGCGUAGCGAAACACAGAAGUUUGGGGAAGGGGAGGGGUCCGGGCGAAUUCCUCCCGGCUGCCACCCGCGUGUUCUACAGCGGCCAGGGCACUGGAGCCGCCGGAGUUGGGACAGGAGUGAAUCCCAACCGAGCUGGACCGGAGCGGGAACGGUGCUGCCACCCGCCGCUCGCCCUUGGGAAUGUGGCUCGCCAGGUCCAGUGACCCUUUGGUCUGGGACCCGUGGGUGGCUGACUGGUGUAGACCGUAAACACCCGGAGUCACUGUCUCUGGGGGCUUGGAUGGGUUCCUGGGGGAUGGGACCCGGGAAGUGGCAGAGGGCGGCGAAGGGCACAGCGCAGGGCUGGACGUGCCUGGUCGUAGGACUCCACGAGGCCCUUGUCCAGGAAAAGCAAGCAGCGCCUGGUGGACCACCCUCGGCCCAAGUCGGGCGCCGGAUGCCCUUUGCUUUUGCAGUCACGGGCACCCGCCUCCGGCCUCGCUUUCCCGGGAAGAGGAGGCGGACUUCGGGAGCCUGAUCUCAAGCUAUGCUUGGCGCGCGGCUGUGGCUGGUGGCCGGGAGCUGUGGCCCCAGGCGCCCUGGGCGACGGGGAGGCGUGGCGAGACCACCUGUCAGCACCGCGGAGUUCGGGGGACGCAGCUUUCACCUGUGCCUGGAAAGGGCGGGGCCGGAGGCUGGGCAGGGAUUUGCGGCUGGCAGCUCUAGGUCUCCUACUACAAAAUGCAUGCAUGGGUCAAUUUCCCAAAAGAAGGGGGUUGGCUAAAAAUACCCCAAAGCCUAAACCUCUCUGCACCCUCUAAUGUAAGCAUUCACAAAGGAACUCGGCCAAAAUCCGUCCUGUUUUCAGGGAGAAAGGCCGAGCCUUCGAACUUGAAUUUGUUAAGGAGUGCUGGAAAAACAAACGCGGGCCUGCCUGCCAUGCUCUAGCUAGCACAGUUUUUAAGGUAAAGUAUCCAAGGCCUUAUUCCGCCAUCUUUCAGCUCCCACACUUGCAUCUGGAUUUCCAAUCCUUUCGUACCCCAGUGCUCAGAUUUCAUUUCUGCCCCGUGUAGGUCCUGCCAGUGUAACAACACCUCCCAUCUCUUAGGGUAUUGAAAGGGCUUGUAGGGUGGCACAAUGUUUUGCCAAUGUUUCCAUCACAACUGAGUGUGUGAAUUUUUAAAAGUUCACUAUUAACCACCCAGAGGAGGUAUCUGCAAAAUUUGAUGACUAGCUUGCUCUAUUUAGGAAACACUAAUCCCGGAGUCAGAGUUUGAUUUCUGAUUUAUUUUAUUAUCAUAGAAGCAGGACAGUUUUGUAGAGUCCCCCACCCUCCACCCUAGCAUGUCAGCUACUCCUUGGUAGUACUUCUGCCAGAAAAUAGGGAAGCCAAUGAGAGAUGGGACCACGCGGUGCUAACUCAGCCAAGGGUUUUAGAUGUCCCCCAAUGGAUUGUUGCUGUUAUUGUUAAAGAAAACCAAUGAUACACCGAUAACGUAACUAUUGUCGUCUGCUACAAAAAUAGGGCUAGUAAACCAGGGGGUCCAGACGGUUAAGUCCAGAGAGUUAAGUUGCAAACACAGCGAUGAAAGAAAAUAGUGCCACCUACGGGAGAAGCGUGGUUCUGAAGGCAGUCUUUAACCUAGGAACCAGUGUCAUACUUAGAUCAUCAUUGAAGUCUUGCUGUUCAGCAUGAUUUUGCAUUUUUUUGCUUCUCCUGAUGUUUGCUUAGCAAAUAAUAUCCCUGGACAACAACUCAAAUGUUCGGGUGUGUUUGAAAGAUUAUCGAUUCCAAAAAGGUCAGUUGCCUUUCUAAGUAUUUUUUUUAAUUACAGGUAUCCCGGAGAACCCUAUGUUUAUGUUAUUUCAAUGAAACUUCUAGAAGUAAGAUAAAUUACCACACAGCCCAGUAAAUAAAGCGCCUUUUGCAAGUUUGACUGCACAGUGCCCCGACUGGUUACCGAGGCCUGCCGGUCGACCGCCUAGCCUAGACAGUGUGCUGCAGGGUCAGAGAAAGACCCUGUCUUUAAAAAUAAGGUUGAGAAAAAUAUAAGAUGCACAACGGGGCAAGAGGGGGGAUACACACAUCACAUAGACUUAUAGAAGCAUUAGAGCUGUUUAUUUCGUGGGCUGGGAAACAUUUGCAAAACUCUGCAUAAAGAUAUAUGGUCAUCAUGCUUUUCUUUCAACCAUUCAAUAAGUAUGUAUGGAUACUUAUUCUGUGCCAGGUCCUCAAGAAGGAACACUAAAGACAGAUGGCAAUCUUCAUCCAAUAUGGAAGCUUAUAUGAUAUAGGAGUAUUUACUAUACGAAGAAAUAUAUAAGUAAAAUCUACAUUCCUCAAAGUAUGUAAUUAUUUAACAUGCUAAGAAAAUAUAGGUAUUCGAUGUUCAUUUUAUAUAUACAUGGCAUAUGAGAAUGUACGAUAUUACCCUAAAGUGUGAUUAUUUUCCCUAAAAAGAAAUGUGUGGCAUUUCUGAUGAUUAUUGUCUUGUCUCUCUCUUUUCUACAAGAAGCUUAAAAAUGAGAACAAAAUACUGCAUGAGCUUACAACUGCUGCCCCAAGUUAGAAGAUUCCUUAAGAACUAUGCUGGUAAUGCUCAUGUAGAGCGCUGUCCCACAGCUGGAAGGCCCUGAGUUGGAUUCCUAGCACCACAGAGAAGGGAGCACUGGACUGUAAAUCUCAGGCCUGCACAUCCCAGGAACUGAUAGGGAGCCUCUCAGGCUCCUUCAUUUAGUCUUGUCCUACCAUCUACCCAGGCUUCCUACCUCAGCUCUUAGCUUCCUUGACAGUUCAGACAACAUUUACAUUUCAGAUUCUUCAGGUUGGCAUAGAAAGACUAGAACUCGAGCAUUUUCUGUUUCUUUGAGCUUCUCUUCAAUAAAUCUGCUCUUUCGUUCAACGAGGGGCGCUUAUUAAAUAUAGGACACUACACUGUCAAAGAGGGAGGAUCAAAGAAGGUAGGAGACACAUUGAUCUUUUGACUCUCUAACUGAAAGCCUGAGAUAAUAUACUUGUGAUAUACAUGUAUGUGUGUGGGGGGGGUGGUGUACACGUCCGCACGCACAGUAUGUGCAGUAUCAAGUGGGUCACAUCGAGGCAAGCUUCAGAGUUGAGAAAGUCCAGAAAGACAGGCCUUCUGCCAGGAAAUGAAGAAAGCACUGUGGAUGUUUCCUCCUGAGCCUGAGCCAGCGUUACUGGAAUUAAUUGCUUUAGCCGAGAUGGACAAAAUUUUAACCAUUGAUGAAUCCAGCAAGAGGUGGAUAUAUAUACAUAUAUAUAUAUAUAUAUUGUUUGUAUCCAUAUGGUAUCUGGAGGACUCUGCGUUUGUGUGUUUUAAGUUUUACUUUGGCAGUAAUAGGUAAAACAAGGAGAGAGGAGGCCCUCCUCCACAUUGCUACUGAAUUUCAGUGGCAAGCAGCCCCGUGGCAUCUAAGUGAGGAGUAUCCCUUUUUGGAUUUCCUGGUAAUACAAUUUUUAGAACUCUACCCUACUAAAGUAAAAAACACUAUUAGUGUAAGACAAACAGUAUUAAAGUACAAGAUUGACAUUCGGUGUCAUUUGAAAUAGCAAGAACAGAAUAGAAUCAUGGGUCAGUAAACUAUCAAACGUCCACCUCAAUACACCUGUCUUCAAAAGUAAGUUAUAUUUGAGAACAGUGUUUCCAAAUACAACAGAUUGAUGAACUCCUAGAGGAACAGAGAGGUAAAUUAACGUGUGAAAAGGUGCAGCCAAGUACUCACUUCAUAUAUACAAAAUAAUAAUAAUAAUAAUAAUAAUAAUAAUAAUAAUAAUAAUACAGCCAAAAUAUUGAGUAUAGGAAUGGGUUGUAUUUGCCAUUUAACUCUUCCAACUUUUCAGCACUUAGAAUUCUUUCUAGUAAGAGAUUCAAAAGGAAUAGGCCAGUGGUAUACAAAUGGCCUGGAAAAUUUAUUCCUCCGAAAUCUAUUCUAUAAUUCUAUUUUUUGUGUGAUUAGGAAAGUCAGCUCUAAUGGGUAAGGAGGCUGAACAUUUCCAAAGAAGCCGUCGUUCCAUCUGUGUCAGGCAAAUUCAAAAGCAGUGUGAGAUUCCGUCUCACCCCGGCAGAAUGGCUGUGAAGAAGGAAACAGUCGACUGACUGGAGAGUUUGUGGAGUACGCAGGUCACGUAUCCACUGUUGGUAGGGUGCUUACUAAUGCAAUGACAAUGGAAACCAGACCGGGGUCCUUCGAAGUAGCAAAAGGGUAACUGACUGGCAUGCCACCCAGAUCCCCUGUUCCCGAGCUUAUCCUGCCACAGAGAUACCCACAUGCCCAUGUUUUCUGCUGUUCUGUUCACAAAUGCAUGGGAAUGGAGCCACCCUAUCUUUCCCUCAGCUGGUGCCUGGGUAAGGAAAGCAUGGCAUAUAUGCACAAGGGAUGCUAUUCAGUCGUCAAGAAAACUGAAGCUAUGGAAUUUACAGAAAUAAUUGCUGUAACCGAAAAGGAUCGUAUUGAGUAAGGCUAAUGAAAAAAUUUAAAGAAGAGAGAACGUCAGCUUAAGACUGGGAAUCCCAUCUCGGAGCCCAGACCCAUUACUUACCAGCUCUGUGGCCCUAAGACAUUUCCCACCCUGAACCCCAGCUUUAUUGGUAAUAAUCCAACCUUGUUGUCAUUAUGACUAAUAAAGUCCUCAGUAUAUCUAUAUUUCUUAAA